AAAGCUCCCCUCAGCACUUGAUAAUAGACUGGGGCGGGGAGAGGGGGUCACUGAACUCCUUUAUCUGUCCCUCUUCCCAGUGUGGCCAUACUGAAUAAUCCUCCUCCCUUUCCUUUUGACCAUCACUCCUCUCUUUAAUUGGCUUCCUGGAGAGGGGUGGCUGGGACUAGCCUAUUGAGGCUGCAAAGCCCUGGCUUUUGCCUUAACAUCUUUGGUUACAGCUUUACAACUUUAGCAAGCCAAGCAGGAGGAGAGAGAUCUUUUAUUCAUCAGCCACUUGCAGCAAGUCAAUUCCAGAGAAGAAAGAUUGAAUGUUCCCAUACAGCUUCUGGAAUUUCUCUUAUUCUUGGGACUUUUUCUUAUCACUCUGGCUAGAAAUGGCUGCUUUCUGCCUCUAGUUAAUGAAGCAUUUGGACUCCUUGGGCCAUAAGGUCUGACCUUUGAUGAGCCUGCGGAGGGACGGAGAUGAGCAGGAAGCAGAAAAGGGCCAUUCCCUGGAAACCAAGGAAAGACUUUAAAAGCAGAAGCCUUGAGCACCUCACCCGGGGCUCACAGAAGCCAAAAGGCUGGAGCUGAGAUCAUCUGCUCGCUAAGUCUGGGGCUUGGCCUAAGAAGUCUCAAAUGAUGCAAAGGAAAUCACUGCAAACAAAAGUUCCCCUUUGCAUUAAAAACAAAAAUGAUGCUGGACCCUUCCCAUGUCACAUAGCAAGGCAAUGUUACAGUCCCAUUCUGUGAUCCGAAGCAGCACUGGUAUUCUCAAACCAAAUCACCAAAUGCUUCAGUGGUCACAGGCCACUCUUGUGCACCCUGGGACAGUUCAGCUGUUCACCUGGUUACACUGCCCCACAGCAAAAGUUCUGAGUGAGUAAACCAAAAAUCUGGACUAACUAGGUCAAGUGACACCCCAGGCCUUACAGCUGCCAAAGCCGGACCGUGGGCCUAUCUGUCAGAGAUUUCGCAACCUGUUCUCCUUUUCUAAAUGGACAGGGCGCAUGGAGGACGAAAUCAUGCAAACAGAGCCCAGUGUGAGCAAUGGUAAAGCCUUGAAACAACACUGAUCUGGAGAACUGCAACCUUCCCUCUGACCUUGUUCUCACGCAGCACUGUUUUUUCAUUUUAUGUGACAAUAAGGUAGAUAAAGAAUUCCACCUAAAUAGUCAAGACAGUGUAGACUUGGUUAUCAUAUUCAUUGUCGGUUUUUGUUAAAAUGAUACCUGGGGGCAGGAGAGACAGCUCAGUAGAUAAAUCACUUGUGAUGCAAGCAUGAAAACUAGAGUUCAGAUCCCCAGGCCCCACAUAAAAGACUGGCUGCUGCUGUAAUCCCAGCACUCAGGAGGCAGGGACAAAGGAUCCCCAGAAGCUGGCAACUGCACGAGCUGGAAUUUGUCUGGGAACACUGGGUUCAGCGAGAGACCUGCUCAAUAUGUGUGGUGGACAGCAAUUGAGGAAAACACCUAAUGUCAACUUCAGGCCUCUACAUGCAUGAAUGCAAAGGUGAGCACGCGUGCACGCGCGCACACACACACACACACCACAGCGCAGAAGCUCUAGGUCCAUCCGCUUCUCUAGUCCUUCAUUUCUUAUAUAUAAAGACCUCUGAGUACACAUAAAA
Molecule: long non-coding RNA, 1612 nt
Organism: Nannospalax galili (Upper Galilee mountains blind mole rat)
Lineage: Eukaryota; Metazoa; Chordata; Mammalia; Rodentia; Spalacidae
Exons: 3
Source: RefSeq, a predicted model, not a curated record